UACGUAGGGAGCAAGCGUUGUCCGGAAUCAUUGGGCGUAAAGCGCGCGUAGGUGGCUUCGUAAGUCCGUUGUGAAAGUCAAAGGCUCAACCUUUGAAAGCCGAUGGAUACUGUGAAGCUAGAGUACGGAAGAGGCGAGUGGAAUUCCUGGUGUAGCGGUGGAAUGCGCAGAUAUCAGGAGGAACACCAUAGCGAAGGCAGCUCGCUGGGACGUACUGACACUGAGGCGCGAAAGCGUGGGGAGCGAACAGG
RNAcentral lists this ribosomal RNA (251 nucleotides) under uncultured bacterium. RNAcentral's name for it is "partial 16S ribosomal RNA". It matches the Rfam family "Bacterial small subunit ribosomal RNA", at positions 524 to 776 of the family's 1533-position model. The record is from RNAcentral.